RNAcentral lists this long non-coding RNA (7480 nucleotides) under Pelobates cultripes (western spadefoot toad). Lineage: Eukaryota; Metazoa; Chordata; Amphibia; Anura; Pelobatidae. The record is from RNAcentral.
GAGACCUGAAGGAGCUCCUGGUCUUGGGAUCACAUCAGGCAGGUACGUUACCAGCUUAAUUGCAGUGUACAUGCUAUUUCAAACAUAGAAUGUACAUACAGCAUAUUAACUUAGGAAAAAACUAUUGUGUGUGGUUAAACAGUUUAUAAACCUAUCUUGCCUCCUUUAUGAUAAGAACAUUUUGAUGUUAGUUGUGGAUGGAUAUUUAUAGUUUUCAUAUUUCAAAACAAAAACUUUGCUGUGCAAGAUGUAACUGGCCUAUGUAAACUUAAGACGUACUAUUGGUUUACUUUAGGAUGCAGUUCAAUAAACUUCUAUUCCUCUUCUCAACAAUUGUUGUCUGCGCUUCGGCUGCACAUUUCCUUGAACAAGAAUGGAAUCUGUGGAAAUCUAAAUACGGUAUGUAAUUACACAGAUACACACAUGUAUGAGUUAUGCUAAUUAGUGACAUGUACAUACAAACAUAACUAUGAUUUGUUUAUUGUUUAUUAAUUCUGUGUCAAUGCAAUAAAAGAUUUAGUUGGUUUCCACGAUGUACGUUAAGUGCCUUGCCACAUAAUUGUAAGCUUGUUAUCGCCUUAUUAUAUUCUUUACUCUAUGUAUUUGCGGUUUCUCUUAAUUACAUUAAAUAACUUCAAUAUAUUUUAAAUAUAUAAUAGCCCUAAAGAUUGUCAGAAACUUAUAUUGCAAAUGCAAAGAUUAUGAACAUACAUAUUAAGAACUUUAACUGUGUUGCUGGACAAGAAAAAAAAGACAAAUAGUGGUUUGAUGGAUACGUACCGAUCAUUAAAAUGUGUGAAUGCUCAUCAAAAAACCAAAAGGCCAAUUUUUUCAACCAUACCUACAGCUCUAUACUACUGUAAUUUGCUCUAUUUGAAGGGCAAAUUACAUCACAUGAAAAGUGUUAGCAUUUUAACUGUUUUUAAUUACCUUUCCUUUUUUUAAAUAUUCAUUUUACUGGACUUGUGUGCUCGUAUCCGUCUUUAGUCUUGCAAGGGAAUAUGGGAAUUAAUAAAUACUAAAUGCGCAACAAAUAGUUAAAAAGCAAACAAACUACUUUGAGCACAAAGAAAGUUUAAAAUCUUUAUUGUGACUUCAAAUACAGUGCAGGAUUUGUCCAAAGGUUGUGAAUUAACUUGUUUCAAUGGUUAAAUUCCAUGGCAGGAAAACAAUAUGACACAGAAGAAAUUGAGCUGAAUCGCCAAGAAGCAUGGUUAGCCACGAGGGAUCUGGUGCACCAACACAACCAGCUGGCAGAACUAGGUCUUAAAAACUACACUUUGGCAAUGAAUCAGUUUGCAGAUCUGGUAAGUUUUCUGAAACCAUUCUGUAAGAGUAUUAUUCAUUUAAUUAAAGUUAGAUUUUUUUUGUUUCUAUACCAGAUUAUAUAAACAUCUAAAAUAUUAUUAUUAUUAUUAUUAUUAUUAUUAUUAUAUACUAUAUAUAGAUAAGCAGCAUUUACAAUGCCACUAGAUAAUAGUAGUGGCAAUUUUAACUAUAGAAAAAAAAAACAUAGAAAAGAGCCACCAUCAAUGGUUUUGCAAUAACAUUAAUGGAUUAUAAAAUAUGGACCACUGGAAAUGUAUGGAAAAGAGUGUGGGAGCAACUACAUUAAUUUUUGUUGACUUCUUGGAAAAGGACAUUUUUACAUUUCAUUAAGUAGUUUUUAUAUAUUAUUUAAAAAAAAUGUAAAAUGUUUUAUUUGCAUAAUAUUGCAUUUAGUGAAUGGAAUGAAGUGAUUGAAAUGUUUUUUUUUUAUAAAUAUGGUUAUCCUGUUUCAGACCCCAGAAGAACGGGCUUCCCACAUCAGCCUUGGUUUGAAAGGACAAUUGGCAAUUUCACACCAUACCCAUAUUCGCCAUGGAAAUCUGCCUGUUAUUCCUGAUGAAUAUGACUGGAGAAAUUCAAAAUGUGUGACUCCAGUUAAAAGUCAAGGAGAAUGUGGCUCAUGUUGGGCAUUUGCUACGGUAAAAACGAUUUAUGAGCUUAUAAGAAUGGGUUUAUGCUACUAAUAUGUUAAGUCAUGGUAAAUUCACAAUGAAUAACAUUAGAGUGUGACUUUCAAUAUUGAGGUCUAUUAUGUUAGCCAAGAAAUGUCCUUUUACAAUGUAGUGCCUGGGGCAAAAGAGAGCAGAUAGAUAAACUGAACUUAAUCAUUUGAGCUGCCAUCUUGUUCCUCAUUCUACUUGAACUCGGAGUACAAUAUGGUAGCCUGUGGAGAGAUCUCAGUAUUUUUCAAGAUGAUCUUGCACAAGCUCAAUGACAUGUCAUCAAUAUCUAUUGUUCAUGCUUCAAAAUGAUGCCUGUUCCGAUCAGCACAAUUUGGCACAUUGUGCAGUCAUUUGAUUUUUUUUACACAUUUAUAGAUGCAAUCUCAUUGCAACUGUAUGAACUGUCAGGUUGUUCAAAGCUUACUACCGGUAGUAAUUUGUACCCAUACUUAGCUAUCCCACUAGUCAUAGUUCUGCCUGUACAUGGUUAAAGAAUUUGCUGUUUUUCUUGCAUCCUUUAAAAGCAAGGUUUUUUGUAAUUUUUAUUUGCCUAUUAAUUUAUGGAUAAUGUUCAAUAAAUUAUUAAUUCAUUACAAUUACAAUUAUUUAUAUAGCACAAACAUAUUAAUAAUAUAUAGUAUACAUAAGUAUAUAUACAUAUAUAUAUAUAUAUAUAUAUAUAUAUUUAGAGAGAGAGAGAGAGAGAGAGAGAGAGAAAAUCCACCCACAAAAAUAUAUAACAAUUUGACAUUUUAUUAGUAGUUUAUUAGUAUUUUUAUAUACUUUGACCUAUUAUUUAGAUGCAGCUAGCACUUAGGCAACUUGUGUGACUUUUAACCGGUUAACUGCUGCCUGUCAGUAGUCCUUCACAGCUGAGCUACUUCUUUGUGCUCCGCUGUGGUCAAGCAUAAGAUAACACCAUUCAGUGCAGGCAGCCGUUGUUACAUGAGAAUAUACUGCUAGGUAUCUUGCAGACAAAAUGGAGCCAGUUCAGCAACCCCUUAUUUUACACUUUACUGCUUGACAGAAACCUUUAAUUUAUUACGCUGCUAUGAUCUAGGCAGCUUUUGUGAUAUUUAAUUGGCUAAUCGCCGUCUGUCAGAAAUCUCUCAGCUGAACUAUUAUCUUUGAUCUUUUUGAGGUUAAGCACCAUAGAACAUUAUCAAUUGUUGUAUGUGGAGUUAACCCAUGUCGUUAGUUGUACUAUCAUGUAGGGAUUUACUUAUCCAUAUCUUUUAACUAUUGACAGCACUGGUUUAGCAGUUGUCUUAUCUCCCCCCCUCUUGUUACAGCUAUUAGUGAUAUAUAAUAUAGUAUCACUUCUAUUACUUGGGAAUACACUGUUAUAUUGUAGCUAAACAGUAUUGCUUCAGCAUUAGUGUUAUUAUGUAUACACUUUUACAGCUUAUAUAAGUAGUCACAGAGUUUUACUCGCUGUAUAGUCUCCAUUUACUCCUGCUGUUCAUAUUAUUUUUUCUUUUUUAUAUUUUAUUUUAGAUUUAUUUAUUAAAAGUUACUUUUUAAUCUACAAUCUUCUCAGUAAAUCAUACACAGGUAGAAUGGCAUUUGUUUCUUUUUUUGUUUAUUCUCUAUGAUAUUCACCAUUUAGGGGUUACCCCCCUUUUUUUUGUGCCCUCUACCUUGUGAUAUCUAAAUUUUGGCCCUAGGUUAAUUAAUUUUUUUCAUUUUCUUUGUAUAAUAUUUUUAUCAUCUGAUCUAACAAUAAUGGCAUGUAUACAAUACUAAUGAAAAUUACAAGCUGGAAUAUCCUUUUUUUUGUAUGACAAUUCUCUUUAUAUUUUCUUUGUUGCGAUUUUCUUUAGAGGUAUUUGUGGAGACAUAACCUACCUGAUUCCUGUACCUACCAAUCUCUGUUAGUGCAGUUGGUUUGUUAUUGUGUUUUGAUGUUUCUUGCUAAAUUAAACGGAUCUUAUGUAAAUUGUUUUUGAAGGUGAGCCUUAUUGAAACCCGGUACUGCCUUGAUAAGGGUAAGCAACUCAUAUUCAGUGAGCAGCAGCUUGUGGAUUGCGAUAAAGCAAAUGAUGGUUGUGAUGGUGGACUCCCAGUUAAGGCUCUGGAAUAUGUUUCCAAAAAUGGUAUUAUGAAGAGUGAUGACUACAAAUAUAAAGAAAAGGUAGGAGAAAAAAUGAAAAUAACCUACUAAGUUCUCAGCGAUUACUUUUCUCGCAACCUAUUUCAUUACCCCUACUAAUACCCUUUUGUAUCACUGUACCACACUCCCUCUAGCAUGUAAGCUCAUUGAGCCGGGCCCUCAACCCCUCUGUUCCUGUGCGUACAUUUGUCUGGUUACAAUUAUGUGUCUGUUAGUGCACCCAUUGUACAGCACUAUGGAAUUUGCUGGCGCUAAAUAAAUAAUAAAAUAAUAUUAAUAAUUUCAUCCCUUGAGACGAUCAUGUACAGUUCUUUUACAUUUAGAUUUUCGCUUGUGUAUUACUAUAAAUUGAAGAGAAUUUUGAGAAGUCACUGCACUUUGACUGACUGCCCCAAAACCUGACCAAUCAUACUGGAGAGGUAGAAUCAGCCAGUGAUAUAGAUUUGUUUGAGUGAGCUAGGGAUGCAUGGUUAUACAUACUGUGUGUGGACACAGGAUUUGGACCAGACACUGAAUACAAGGAGUAGAAUUAUAGCAUUGAUGCUAGAAUUAUAGCAUUGGGGAUUUUUUGGUAACCGUGGUAUAGAGCACAAAGUAAUUAGAUUUAGGGGAUUUGGGUAUCUCUGCUACAUAAUAUUUAUAUUAAAGAGGGUAUUUGUAUGGAUCAGGGGCCCUGUUCUCAACCUUGAUAACUCCUACCAUCAUUUGAAUAUGACAGAUAAAAAAAGGGAAGAGGUAAUUAAAAGCAAUUCUUCACCAUCCAGAAUAAGGGGGUCCUCUAGACCAUAACAGAGUUUGUUUCUCCACCAUAACUCAUAAGGUAUAGGGUAAAAUUAAAGCCAAGAGCUCUGCAAGGUAUGCCAUGGGCAGUCCAAGCACCAAGGGGUUUAAAGAUCUAAACAACUAGUAUGACAAUGUUUUCCUGUCCUUCCUAUGAGAGAUCAAGUUCAUAAAUUUAUUUUCGCUGUUUGUUUCUUUGUAGCAAGGUAAAUGCUUAUUUAACUCAAAUAAUGCAAUAAAGAUGAAAGCAAAAAAAUUCUAUUAUGUGAAUGGAGAAGCAAAUAUGGCAGCAUCAGUGGCAACUAAUGGACCUCUCACUGCUGGAAUUGGAGUUGAUGAUGAAUUUAUGCUGUAUGAAAAAGGUAAUUACUAACGAAGCAUGUUAAUGAUGCUAUAUUAUUUUUCAUGUCAAAGUACGUUAUGAGAUGUAUUCUUCUGAUUACUCAGAACGUCUAGUCAGUUGUAUACAAAGGAGACCCAACUAAAAAUGUUGUUUUAUUUAAAUAAAUUCCAGUAACUCUUGUGAUGAUGUCAUUUAAAAUAAAAUAUAGAAGAACUAGAAUAUUAUUAUUCAACUAAUGAAAUGUAUUUAACCAUAAACAAAUAAACGUAUUUGACAGUUCAGCUAGAUCAAUAAUUGAGAAGUUACCCGCAGUAAACAUAUAAGGAAUGAAAGUUGAGAUUCUGUUCUUGAUAGAAAUCAAUUAACAAUUUGCUCAGCAUGAGUUUGCCCCCAGGUUUAGCUUUUGAGUCUCCAGGUCCACAUGAGUUCUAUCUAACAAAGCCACAAUUUGAUUAAAUCAAUAUGGUGACAAUACUUGUUAUGGAAAUAGUGGCAGUUUAACUGAUGCUAUCUGUCUGUGCAAUGUAUCAUAAUUGCUAUUUACCAUAACAACUUUUUAGGAUUCAGGAUUGUAAAAAUCAAUCCAUAACUUGCUAUUCAGAAUGUAUGUCAUUUCACAAACUAGUUUUUAGAACAUGUAUUGAUCGUUAAGCUCCAGAUUGACAAACUUUCCAUCUCGAGCUCUACAAAUAAUUUUGACAUAACUUUAUUAAAUAUUUUUUUAACAAAUGUUAUUUUUAAGAGAUCAGCAAGUACAAUAUACAAUUGGAGAGGAAAUACAGGUGAAUGUUAAAUUAAUAGUGAAGUUAUGGACCAACUACCAAAUUAUCUUCAACACUGGAUGCAAUAGUGUAGUUAAGUGAAAGUGACAACCUUAAAUGUAAAAAAAAAAAAAAAAAUGCACAUAUAUGUAACUUAAAAAAAAAAAAUGUUUAAUCUUUUAUUUAAUUAAGGAAUAUAUGAUGGAACCUGUGCUGAUGGACCAAAUCAUGCAAUCGUCGUUGUGGGUUACGGCCGUAACUACUGGACAGUUAGGAAUAGGUAAAUGAUUAAUUUCACUUUGAUCUAUGUCUUUCAUUGCAUAUUGACAAAAAUGGAAAAUCACUUUUUUCACAGAAUCACAAAAAUCACAAAAGCUUAUAAGUGGCUGAUCUUUGGGUGACAUAUAACAUACAAUGCACUGUAAGCUAUUUCACCUAAGAGAUGCUGAGUUACAUUAAAAAAAAAGUUAAGUGAAGAUGAGUGCACUUCAAAUUCAAUGUGAUUACUCUCCGUUUCUUAAAAGAAAUAAAAAAAAUAACUUGGCUCAGCUCAAUAGCUCAGAAGUGUACCACCAUAGUUCAAUUUUGCCUUGAAGCAACACAGUCCCAGGGUUGAUUUUAGUUUCUGAUAAAUUAUUACAGAUUGUUUAGUUGAUACUUAUUAACUAAUGACAGAAUAUAAGAAUUCCGUGGUCCAUAUAGUUUGUCCAUUCUACAAUAUGUAUCAUUGUUGUAUCAACGGUCUGUUAUCUUGUAGUUUGAGAUAUUAAUCGUCUUAUCUGGAAAUCAGUUAUUUACUAUAGUCCAACUCCAAAUAUGUUGUUUAAUUAUAAACAUGCUCAUAUAUUAAAAGUUGGAUAGCUAACAUAAAAGCUUAUCUUUGCUUGUUGUCCAGGGAAAUAUAAAUAUUCAAUUAAAAACAUGUCUGUGCAUCCUAUAUUUGCCCCUUGAGCUUACACAGAAAAAUAUUAAUUCUUGAUAUUUACCUCCACUUUUGCAAAAGAAAAUACUUGCAAAUUCAUUAAUGUUGGCAUAAACCUUAUUACAGGUAUUAAGAAUGAACAUCUUGUAAGUGCUGCAAGGAUUAGAAUUGUUGGAGCAUAUACAAUAGUUUGAAAUAUUAUUGCAUUACAAUCAUUAAUUAAAUAUUGUAUAUUUUUUUUUUUGUAGCUGGGGUGAUGGUUGGGGAGAAGCCGGCUAUGUGAGAAUGAAGAGAAACAUUAACCAGUGCAGUAUAGGCGUCAUGCCAGCGACUAUGGAAUUCACAUUCAAUUAAAGAACACCUCGAGCAGCAACACAAAAUUCAGUGGUUGGCAAAGAAGAAUAUCCCUCUCGAUGAAUUGGCUUUUGUUUUUAUUAAAUCUUUACUUCGGGAUUUUGAGAUGGGCUCCACCUAUAUAAAACCGAUGAAUGUUAUCAUGGCAUAUGGUUUAUUUUUUAAUUAAAGGAAAUCCAUUUAAUUUAUAUUUUCUAUUGUAUUUUUUACAUAAAG